GACGAACGCUGGCGGCGUGCUUAACACAUGCAAGUCGAACGGAAAGGCCCUGCUUUUGUGGGGUGCUCGAGUGGCGAACGGGUGAGUAACACGUGAGUAACCUGCCCUUGACUUUGGGAUAACUUCAGGAAACUGGGGCUAAUACCGGAUAGGAGCUCCUGCUGCAUGGUGGGGGUUGGAACGUUUCGGCGGUUGGGGAUGGACUCGCGGCUUAUCAGCUUGUUGGUGGGGUAGUGGCUUACCAAGGCUUUGACGGGUAGCCGGCCUGAGAGGGUGACCGGCCACAUUGGGACUGAGAUACGGCCCAGACUCGUACGGGAGGCAGCAGUGGGGAAUAUUGCACAAUGGGCGGAAGCCUGAUGCAGCAACGCCGCGUGCGGAAUGACGGCCUUCGGGUUGUAAACCGCUUUCGCCUGUGACGAAGCGUGAGUGACGGUAAUGGGUAAAGAAGCACCGGCUAACUACGUG
RNAcentral lists this ribosomal RNA (468 nucleotides) under uncultured bacterium. Its description in RNAcentral is "partial 16S ribosomal RNA". It matches the Rfam family "Bacterial small subunit ribosomal RNA", at positions 28 to 507 of the family's 1533-position model. The record is from RNAcentral.